RNAcentral lists this transfer RNA (81 nucleotides) under Nevskiaceae bacterium. RNAcentral's name for it is "Sinobacteraceae bacterium tRNA-Leu". It matches the Rfam family "tRNA". Rfam says of the family: Transfer RNA (tRNA) molecules are approximately 80 nucleotides in length. Their secondary structure includes four short double-helical elements and three loops (D, anti-codon, and T loops). Further hydrogen bonds mediate the characteristic L-shaped molecular structure. tRNAs have two regions of fundamental functional importance: the anti-codon, which is responsible for specific mRNA codon recognition, and the 3' end, to which the tRNAs corresponding amino acid is attached (by aminoacyl-tRNA synthetases). tRNAs cope with the degeneracy of the genetic code in two manners: having more than one tRNA (with a specific anti-codon) for a particular amino acid; and 'wobble' base-pairing, i.e. permitting non-standard base-pairing at the 3rd anti-codon position. Lineage: Bacteria; Pseudomonadati; Pseudomonadota; Gammaproteobacteria; Nevskiales; Nevskiaceae. The record is from RNAcentral.
GCGAAUGUGGCGGAAUUGGUAGACGCACUGGAUUUAGGUUCCAGCGCCGCAAGGCGUGCGAGUUCGAGUCUCGCCUUUCGC